RNAcentral lists this ribosomal RNA (495 nucleotides) under uncultured bacterium. Its description in RNAcentral is "partial 16S ribosomal RNA". It matches the Rfam family "Bacterial small subunit ribosomal RNA", at positions 28 to 507 of the family's 1533-position model. The record is from RNAcentral.
GACGAACGCUGGCGGCGUGCCUAAUACAUGCAAGUCGAACGCUGAAGGAGGAGCUUGUUUCUCUGGAUGAGUUGCGAUCGCGUGAGUAACGCGUAUGUAACCUGCCUUGCAGUGGGGGAUAACUUUUGGAAACGAUAGCUAAUACCGUAUAAGAGUAGAUGUUGCAUUACAUUUGCUUAAAAUUUGCAAUUUCAUCGCUUCCAGGAGGCUCUGCGUUGUAUUAGCUUUUUGGUGGGGUAACGGCUCACCACGGCGACGAUUCAUCGUCGAAUUGAGAGGGGGAUUGGCCAAACUGGGACUGAGAAACGGGCCAGAAUCCUUCGGGAGGCAGCCGUAGGGGAACUUCGGAAAGGGGCGGAAGUCUGACCGAGCAACGCCGCGGGAGUGGAGGAGGGUGUCAGGUCGUAAAGCUCUGUUGGAUGUGAAGAACGAGUAUGAGAGUAGAAAGUUCACACUGUGACGGUAGCUUACCAGAAAGAAACGGCUAACUACGUG